AAUGAACGCUGGCGGCAGGCCUAAACAUGCAAGUCGAACGCUGUAGCAAUACAGAGUGGCGCACGGGUGAGUAACAUGUGGGAAUAUGCCUAUUGGUACGGAACAACGUUUGGAAACGAACGCUAAUACCGUAUGGUCCCUUCGGGGUAAAGAUUUAUCGCCAAUAGAUUAGCCCGCACUAGAUUAGCUAGUUGGUGAGGUAAGAGCUCACCAAGCCGACGAUCGGUAGCUGGUCUGAGAGGAUGAUCAGCACACUGGGACUGAGAUACGGCCAGACUCCUACGGAGGCAGCAGUGGGGAA
RNAcentral lists this ribosomal RNA (301 nucleotides) under uncultured bacterium. RNAcentral's name for it is "bacterial SSU rRNA". It matches the Rfam family "Bacterial small subunit ribosomal RNA", at positions 29 to 361 of the family's 1533-position model. The record is from RNAcentral.